Molecule: long non-coding RNA, 3026 nt
Organism: Felis catus (domestic cat)
Lineage: Eukaryota; Metazoa; Chordata; Mammalia; Carnivora; Felidae
Exons: 6
Source: RefSeq, a predicted model, not a curated record
UGUCAAGGGCUUUUGUGAUGGUAAUGCUAUGUUAUUAUACAGGACAAAAGGGGAGUGGCCUCGGGGUCCAGGGAACUAGAAGUUUAGUUCCGUCCGAAAAGGACUAUGUAUUCCAUAGCAAGGGGUUUGGGCAGGGCUGCUGGCAGUACUGUGCUAAGUCUGGUUGCCAAAAGGGCCCACAGGGCAGAUAUCCAGAAGUCCCCUCCUUGCCCCAUGCCUUUUCUCCGUGACAUGAGAAAAGUGGUGGAAAUGUUGCGGAAGAUUUCAGCUGCCUCUGCAGGGAUGUCUCCAGCCCAAAAGGCCAGGUGACAGCCUAGUAGGAAUUGCUCGAGUUUCCACGUAAGUACUGCCUGGGGCCUGAAGGACUCACGGAACCCUGAAAAGCAGACAGGUUCCCGGCGGGCAGGUUCUGGAGCACUUGUGCUAGGGAGAGACAGUAGCCGAGAAAAGCUCGUGAUUCCUGAGCUGAAGGUUGAAAGACUCCUGCUUCCUCUGCCGGCUGCCAAUGUUGUAACAGAAAAUGCUCUCCUCAUAGCAAAUGGACAGAGAGUGGUCGCCUAAGAGCAUUCACUUCCUCAGCAUUCUUACAGACUGGCGUUGAAGGAAUUCCAGAUCCCUAAUUGGCAGGAAGUUUGGUGGCCGAAACAUUUCCUGGACAACCCUGGCUCCCAGCAGCUGUAUGGUGAGAAACCAAAUUAUAACCCAAACACUGCUAAAGAAGCAUGGAUCCGAUAAGAGAAGAAAAAGAAUCUUAGGAAGUAUCCUUCUAUUGUAAGCUUUUUAACAGGACCGUGGCCAUGGAAGUUGUAAUCCACUAAGUAGUGUUCAAAACUCACCUGCCAAAUCAACUAUCCCUGAAAAUGGAUGGUGCUGAAGCAUGAGGCCCAUACCCAGCCAUCGUUGACAGUCAGUGACUCCAUGAGAGGGACCGGGACUCAUGGUGGUGGUUCCUGCUGGGGCCUCCGCCAACCUCCACCCUGCAGAUGCUAUGCCAUGCAGAGUAGGAGCACUGCCAAGUUUUCUGGCCUUUGUUGAGGAAAUUGAACCAUGCGCUCCAAGUUUGAAAUAUAAUAAUGAGGAAAGAUGUGCACCAAACAUGGCAAGAAGGCUGCAGAACUUCUGGACCUGAGGCAGCUUGUGGAGUUGGGACAUGUCCAUCUGAAAGGAGAAGGCUCUGUCUUCCUAAGUGGAUGCUGUGAUAGUCCACCCAGAUCCCCAUCGCUCUUCUCUCCAGGACUGAAGAACCCAUCCCGAUGAAUAUGAAACCUAAGCAGAUGCAAUCAUGAUUGUAAUGCUGUUCUCCUUUAAUCCUGCAUUUGGCCAGCUCUGUCAGUGUGCCAGCUCUGAGUCUUCCAUAUUUCUACUUGUCUCUUCGGCCUCUCUUGACACCAUGGGAAUAUGCCUUGGUUACCCUGUUGGAGGGUGAGACAUGUGGAUGAGAGCGAUCGCCUUGGUCAACAGUCAGCUGGCUCUGGACAUGUAAGUACAGCAAAGUUACACAUAGCCAUCUAGCCAGCCCUCCUGUUGACCCUGAACAUGUGAAUAAUAUACUCACACAGAUGAAUUAUAAUCCAAUAAAUAGAGUGGAAGAAUGGUAUGAAUAAAACCAUGUAUCUAUUUAUUCAUCUCUCUGGGUUUUAAAAUGUGAAAAGAAGCACCUUUCCAAAUGCUACCUAUACUGGUGCUUAUUUCACAAAUAGUUUUAGUUACAAGUAUUUUAGUUAUGAGUAUUUUAGCUGCUGAGUAUUAUCUAGAAAUACAUCCAUGAUUGUAUGUUAUGUGCUGCAGAACUACCUAAAUCUUUUUAAAAGAGCCUUAUUUUGAGACACUUUAAAAUUUGCCUCAUCACCUAGGAAAAUGGGCAGGAAGAUGAAGUUAUUUGACUCCUUAGCCUAGGAGUUGUUCUUGGGGAAAAAAGGUAAUAAUACCUUCUAAACUUAAUUUGCUCUUUCCUCCUCCAGGGUUUUCAAACUAUGCCCAAAUGCUCUCACACACAGUUCAAAACAUCCAGGUUUAUUAGAGUGUUGUUACUCUCAGGAAUAUAUCCACCCACACAGCCAGUAGUUUUUGUAGAAAUUCAAGGCAAAGUGGUAUUCAGUGAACCUUAUGGAAUUAAGAAGGAGCAAAGUAUCAAUAAAGAAUUUAAGGAGGUACACAGUAAAGACACAGAACUACUCAAUUCACUCCCAUUCUUUUUAUAAAGUUUGCCAUCAGACUUCGUAUCCCUUCGGCCUGUUGUCAAUAGCUAUUCAUAUGGGCUUCACACAACAAAUGAUUAUUAUACCACCUGAUAGCAGGGGCAUAAGGGUGAUGAUUAAUCUUCAUCCUUCGUUCAUAACACACAUUGUUGGUCCAGACAUGACCUUCUUUUAUUAUUCACUUAGUUAGAUAUGCAGAUGUUUGUAUUUAUUUCUCUAUGUUAAUAAUAAGAACCUAAGAAAUCACCACUCAACAUGAAAAAUAGAACCUUGAUAAUAACUUAGAUUAACAUAUGUGAUCCUAUACAACAGCAGAAACCUGGAAACAACCCAUUAUCUAUACAGAGGGGAAUGGACGAAUGAAAUAUGUAUGUUCACAGAAAAGAAUAUCAUACAGAAGUUAAAAUGAAUAAAUUGUAGCAAGAUAUGUUAUGUGAAACCCAGAAUUUUUAAGUUAAAAAAAUCCCAAAAGAUAAAUGUAUCCUUGGCUUUGCAAAAGCUUUUCACUUUGAAUUAGUCCUGUUUAUUUCUGCUUUUGUUGCCUUUCCCUGAUGAGACAAAUCCAAAAAAAAAAAAAAUUGCUCAAACUGAUGUCAAACAGCUUACUGCUUAGAUUUUCAUCUAGGAGUUUCAUGGUUUCAAAUCUUACAUUUAUUUUUGUAUAUGGUGUAAGAAAGGGGUUCACUUUUCUCAACAACAUUUAUUGAAAAGACUGUCUUUUUCCCAUUUUAUGUUACUGCCUUCUUAAUCAUAUAUUAAUCAAGGGUUUAUUUUUGGACUCUCGGUUCUAUUGAUCUGUGUGUCUGUUUUUGUGCCAGUACCAUACUA